GAGAUAUAUAUAUAUAUAUAGAGAUAUAUAUAGAGAUAGAGAGAUAUAUAUAUAUAGAGAUAUAUAUAUAUAGAGAUAUAGAGAUAUAUAUAUAUAUAGAGAUAUAGAGAUAUAUAUAGUUAUAGUUAUAUAUAGUUAUAGUUAUAUAUAUAUAUAUAUAUAUAUAUAUAUAUAGUGAUAUAUAUAUAUAUAGUGAUAUACACACACUUUAUUCACCCCCUUGAAAAUUAGAUGCUUGAGUAAUUAAUGAAGCACUAAUAUUGAAGUGAUAAAGCCUGAAGCCGAUGUUUGGAGGAUAUAUUGGCGCGGGCGUUAGGCCCGAGGCGAACACCAGCUCCCAGGCCAUUAUCACUUUUAUACGGGUUACCAACAUAUUCAAAUAAUGAUUUACAUAUUUUCAUUAACUUUAUUUUGAUGAAUUUAUUCAUACAGUUUUCAUCCUUCCACAAAAUAUAGUCCCGACACAAAUCUAGGGUUGCUACCCGAGCCGGCUGGUCGUUCGUUCUAUCGGUUCGGUUGCCAUAGUCGUUGUCCUUUUUGCUCUGUUGCCAUGGGCGCGACCCAGUCGUUGUCCUUUUUGCUCCGUUGCCAUGGUCGCGACCCAGUCGUUGUCCUUUUUGUUCCGUUGCCAUGGGCGCGACCCAGUCGUUGUCCUUUUUGCUCCGUUGCCAUGGGCGCGACCCAGUCGUUGUCCUUUUUGCUCCGUUGCCAUGGGCGCGACCCAGUCGUUGUCCGUUUUGCUCCGUUGCCAUGGGCGCGACCCAGUCGUUGUCCUUUUUGCUCCGUUGCCACGGGCGCGACCCAGUCGUUGUCCUUUUUGCUCCGUUGCCACGGGUGCGACCCAGUCGUUGUCCUUUUUGCUCCGUUGCCACGGGCGCGACCCAGUCGUUGUCCUUUUUGUUCCGUUCUUAUCCCUUGCUUGCUAGCUAGUCAACUUUGGCUAACACAGUCACGUUAAACAGUGUAGCCAGAAUAACAGCACAGUGGUCUAAGCUGUUUUCUAGUGAUUUGUUUUGGGACCAUAACAAUGAUUUCUCCUGCCGUAGAACGUUGGCUUUCUCUAGCUAACGACACAGCUAACACGGUCACUUCAAACUGAAGCUGGAAUCACGGCAAACUAGCUACAUGUACUGUUUUUCUAUUGACAUUUCUUUGUAUAGAUCCAUAAAAAUUUGGCCGAAUCAUGAUUUUGAUUUGAAAACAGCGGAGAUUAAUCUAAAAGCAAUGUGAAAUAAUGUGUAGAUGCUUUUUAUAGUGGAGAUCAAAUUUAUAAAUUGCCUGGCUGGGCUGAUGAGACAGUGGAUUGCACAAUCAGAUGGAACAGAGUAAAUAGGCAUUUUAACGUCAUUGAUUUAACCGGUUGUAACUUGUAGAAUAGACACUGGCUGGAAUGCGGUUUUAACCAAUCAGCAUCCAGGAUUAGACCCACCUAUAUAAAUCUUGAUUUUUAGAUAAGUAUUCAACCCUUUGAGUCAAUAAAUGUUAGAAUCACCUUUUUGUCAGCGACUACAGCUGUGUGUCUUCUUGGGUUGGUAUCUAAGGGGCCGAUUCAGACUGAGGAAAUGGACGCCUUUGCACUUCUCAGUUGGUAUUCGGACUUACCCAGCACGCAUUGCGCUCUACAGGUGUGGCUACCAUGCCCUCAAUGAAUAAAUAUCAUUCAACCACUUUCUGGCCAACUGAUUAUUUUGUUGUAGUGAAGUUUACAUUCAAUAGGGUUUUCAGUACAUUUAUCGACAUCCAUCCCUUUAAAUGCGCUGUACUUUUUUUUUUGUAUUAGAAUUUUGUCGUCAGACUAUAUCGUGAGACGGGUUGAGAAUAUUAUGAAAUUACCGUAAUUUCCAGACUACUGAGCGCACCUGAAUAUAAGCCGUACCCACUGAAUUAAAAAAUAUAUAUAUAUUUUGAACAUAAAUAAGCCGCACAUGUCUAUAAGCCGCAGGUGCCUACCGGUACAUUGAAACAAAUUAACUUUACAC
Molecule: long non-coding RNA, 1979 nt
Filed under: Salmo salar (Atlantic salmon)
Lineage: Eukaryota; Metazoa; Chordata; Actinopteri; Salmoniformes; Salmonidae
Description: lncRNA (ENSSSAG00000115965.1)
Source: RNAcentral